AUCCAGUUGACGAGCCCCAAAUAGGACGAAACCUGCGUACUGGAU
Molecule: non-coding RNA, 45 nt
Filed under: Schistosoma margrebowiei
Lineage: Eukaryota; Metazoa; Platyhelminthes; Trematoda; Strigeidida; Schistosomatidae
Source: RNAcentral